Molecule: ribosomal RNA, 928 nt
Filed under: uncultured Spirochaeta sp.
Lineage: Bacteria; Pseudomonadati; Spirochaetota; Spirochaetia; Spirochaetales; Spirochaetaceae
Description: bacterial SSU rRNA
Rfam family: Bacterial small subunit ribosomal RNA
Source: RNAcentral
UGCAAGUCGAACGGUAGACCGGUGCUUGCACCGGUUGAGAGUGGCGCACGGGUGAGUAACACGUAGGUGAUCUACCCCUGGGUUGGGGAUAGCCUGUGGAAACACAGGGUAAUACCGAAUACGACCGAGUUCCUGUGGGAGCUUGGGGAAAGGCCCUAAGGGGUCGUCCGGGGAUGAGCCUGCGGUCCAUUAGCUAGUUGGUGUGGUAAGAGCGCACCAAGGCGACGAUGGAUAGCCGGCCUGAGAGGGUGAUCGGCCACACUGGGACUGAGACACGGCCCAGACUCCUACGGGAGGCAGCAGCUAAGAAUCUUCCGCAAUGGGCGAAAGCCUGACGGAGCGACGCUGCGUGAACGAAGAAGGCCGUGAGGUUGUAAAGUUCUUUUCCUGGGGAGGAAUAAUGGCCGGAGGGAAUGCCGGUCAGAUGACGUGAACCAGGGAAUAAGCCCCGGCUAAUUCCGUGCCAGCAGCCGCGGUAACACGGAAGGGGCGAGCGUUGUUCGGAUUUAUUGGGCGUAAAGGGCGUGUAGGCGGCAGUGCAAGUCUGGUGUGAAAGACUCCGGCUCAACCGGGGAAGCGCGCUGGAAACUGUGCUGCUUGAGUUUAGGAGGGGGAACUGGAAUUCCUGGUGUAGGGGUGAAAUCUGUAGAGAUCAGGAAGAACACCGGAGGCGAAGGCGAGUUCCUGGCCAUAGACUGACGCUGAGGCGCGAAAGCGUGGGGAGCGAACAGGAUUAGAUACCCUGGUAGUCCACGCUGUAAACGAUGUGCACUAGGUGUUGGGGAUGAUGAUCCUCAGUGCCGCAGCUAACGCGUUAAGUGCACCGCCUGGGGAGUAUGCUCGCAAGGGUGAAACUCAAAGGAAUUGACGGGGGCCCGCACAAGCGGUGGAGCACGUGGUUUAAUUCGAUGAUACGCGAGAAACCUUA